UGAGACGAACGAGCUCCUCCUGAACCUUCAUUUAGAGCCUCAUUUAAAUACAGAAUGAGUUCAUUUGCAUAUUGAUCAGAUGCUUCAGUGCUCUGAGAGUGUUUAUAGUGCUGUGAGUUUAACACUUCAUCACUGACACACACAACAAUCUUCAUCAACAUGACCUUCAUCAUCAUCUUCAUCUGGACUCUCACAGCGUUUGCUCAAGAGUGUAGAGGACAGAUCACCGUCACUCAGAGUCCCUCAAUGACAGCAGCUCAACCAGGACAAACUGUGAACAUCAACUGUAAAACCAGCAGUAGAGUGUAUGGUGGUGAUCGUUUAGCCUGGUACUUACAGAAACCUGGAGAAGCUCCUAAACUCCUGAUUUAUUAUGCAAGCACCCUCCAGUCAGGAACUCCAUCUAGAUUCAGUGGCAGUGGAUCUAACAGUGAUUUCACUCUGACCAUCAGUGGAGUCCAGACUGAAGAUGCUGGACAUUAUUACUGUCAGAGUUACCAUGAAAUCAGCAGUAAAGAUGUGUUCACACAGUGAUAAAGAGUCGUACAAAAACCUCCGUCAGUCAGAGUCACAGUGACUGAACUGAUACUGCAGCUGCUCAAAGGAGGAUCUGAAACAACAUCGUCACACAAACAUCUGAAAUAAAAUCAUCUAAAUUAAUCUGCCACUCUUAAUAAUUAUAGAGGUCAGAAAGAGAUUUUGUGCUCUUAUAGAUCAGU
Megalobrama amblycephala (Wuchang bream) is the source of this 719-nucleotide non-coding RNA. The record is from the annotation of a RefSeq genome assembly. NCBI's taxonomy places the organism in Eukaryota, Metazoa, Chordata, Actinopteri, Cypriniformes, Xenocyprididae.